This 91-nucleotide transfer RNA is filed under the name Acinetobacter baumannii. RNAcentral's name for it is "tRNA-Ser". It matches the Rfam family "tRNA". From Rfam's summary of the family: Transfer RNA (tRNA) molecules are approximately 80 nucleotides in length. RNAcentral also lists the same sequence under 59 other names. Lineage: Bacteria; Pseudomonadati; Pseudomonadota; Gammaproteobacteria; Moraxellales; Moraxellaceae. The record is from RNAcentral.
GGUGAGGUGUCCGAGUGGCUGAAGGAGCACGCCUGGAAAGUGUGUAAACGUUUAUAGCGUUUCGAGGGUUCGAAUCCCUCUCUCACCGCCA